GGAGAGGUGGCUGAGUGGUUGAUAGCCCCGGUCUUGAAAACCGGUAUAGUUCCAAAAACUAUCGAGGGUUCGAAUCCCUCUCUCUCCU
This 88-nucleotide transfer RNA is filed under the name Commelina benghalensis. RNAcentral describes it as "tRNA-Ser". It matches the Rfam family "tRNA". From Rfam's summary of the family: Transfer RNA (tRNA) molecules are approximately 80 nucleotides in length. Lineage: Eukaryota; Viridiplantae; Streptophyta; Magnoliopsida; Commelinales; Commelinaceae. The record is from RNAcentral.